GCGGGUAUGGCGUAACUGGUAGCCGCGCUAGACUUAGGAUCUAGUGCCGAAAGGCGUGGGGGUUCGAAUCCCUUUACCCGCAC
This 83-nucleotide transfer RNA is filed under the name Bacteroidetes bacterium ADurb.Bin037. RNAcentral's name for it is "tRNA-Leu". It matches the Rfam family "tRNA". Rfam says of the family: Transfer RNA (tRNA) molecules are approximately 80 nucleotides in length. The record is from RNAcentral. Lineage: Bacteria; Pseudomonadati; Bacteroidota.